Non-coding RNA from Meleagris gallopavo (turkey), 1194 nucleotides. The record is from RefSeq and is a predicted model, not a curated record. Lineage: Eukaryota; Metazoa; Chordata; Aves; Galliformes; Phasianidae.
CUCCCGAACAUCUCCCAUUUGUUUGUUGAAGGUGCCUUUGACCGGAGCGUGACCCUGCUGGAGGUGUGCGGGAGCUGGCCCGAGAACUUCGGUCUCCGUCACAUGUCUUCCAUGGAGCACACUGACGAGGGCCUCCGGGAGCGCCUGGCCGAUGCGAUGUGCGAAUCCCCCAGCAGGGACAUAGUGGGAUCAGGAACAGGUACAAAGAAGAGGUGUGAUCAGAGAUCACGUACAUCUCACCCAAUGAAACAGCCGGUGAAGUAGCAGUAAAAAACAUCACCACAAAGAGGCACAUGGCUUUGAAAUGUUUUGAGCUUCAGCGAGAGGGAAGCAUAGAGACGCUCAGUAACAGCUCCGGGUCCACCAGUGGAAGUAUUCCUCGCAAUUUCGAUGGCUACAGAUCGCCCCUCCCGACUAAUGAGAACCAGCCCCUCAGCCUCUUCCCCACAGGCUUCCCCUGAGUUCGUCAAUCACACGAGGAGAGAUGGGGACGGGGUAACGAGCCGCCUCUCUGCCCAAGCAAUCCGAUGUGCCCGCUGCCCGCUGCGCGCUGGAUGGUUCUCGUUACCCUGAUCGACAUCGGCAACUCUUCCACGUAAACCUUCCUGGAACGUACUCACAAAACCUUGACUUUGUUUUCUGUGCAAUACGAAGAGACUCCGUCUUCAAUCUCGCUAGCUCCGCGGCCGCUUUGUUCGCUGUGUUUGGGAAGAGGUUGGUUGAGGAGGAAUCUGUCUGAGCCGUUCUUGGCCGAGCACGUGGUGUCACAGCUGCUCUCUGCUUUCUGUGUUCAGAGAUGAAGGGAAUCUCUGAACUAUGGGUGUGCACCCACCGGGAGCUGCAGCCCUCUGCGAAGUGCCGAGCGGUAAUGAGUGAGCUCCAGAGAAUGGGAGUUCAGGGGCGUUUGUGGAUAGGGCUGAUGGUGUUUCCUCUCCCCGGUUGCGCUCCUUGCUGCCCUCCUUCCCCCUGUACUGAUGCCAGGAGUAUUACAAGUGGAAAAUGUUUCUUUUUGUUCUUUGGAAGAAUGAUCUCUCUUGCUCCAGUUUUAUUCUAGCCAUGUAUUCUAGAAACAUACAUAAUUGACUAACUGCAGUCACAGAUUUCUCAUCUUUGGUUAUAAACGUUGUUCACUGGAACUCGGCUGUCUGUCCAGAAAUGCAUGUGUCAUUGAAUAAAUCGAAGUUAAACCCGAAA